CACGCAGAGGGAUUAAUAAAUAACGGGCGUGUAUAAUGUAGUCUGUUUCAAAUGAAGCUGGGAGCCUCUGCAGUUGUGUAAAAUGCAAGAAAGCUGGUGAAGGGGUUCAGAGCACUACAAAACUGCUAUGGCGGACAACUCCAUGUAUUCUGUCAAAACAAGGGACAAGUCUGAGGGACGGCAUUCACGCACAGAAGCACCAUAAGGAAUCACAGACUACUCAAGAGGAGCUGAGGAGACGCGUCAGUCAUCUUAAGUGAAAUUAUGGCGACAAUGGCGUACACAGCAUUGCACACACUUCUCUGGCUUCUAACUGCAUUCACUCUUACAACACAAGAUUUGGUGAAACUAAGCGUGACUCCUGUGAUAACUGCAGAGUGUAACCAACAGGUUACCCUACACUGCAAUGUGUCCUCGUCUCAAAACGAUCUAUCAAUCAAACACAUGAAGUGGUCCCAAAAUAAAAUGUCUUUGUGUUCUGUGGACGAUAAAGGAAUAAUCUCAACCCACACACACAAUCUAAGUGACUUCCAUUGUGAGUAUAGACAUGGACAACUGUCCCUCAUCUUCAAGAGAGUGCAGCCACUGGAUAGCUCAAAGCCCUACAUGUGCAAACUACAGUCCACCGGGGGAGCUUCACAUCACUAUACAAAUGUGACAUUACAAGAGUGCUAUGGGAAAGUUGAGGGCUUCUUCACUGAUGACGGCCCCGUCUGUACCUUCAGAAAUGUUCACCCAGACGGUAAUGUGCUCUGGUCUCACGACUCCCACAAUCUCUCACAUGUGAAGCACUACACUACUAAACAAGUGGAAGAAGGGGGCUGGCUGACUAUCCGUGGUUACCUGGAGCAGAAAAGUUCAAAUGUGCCCUACAACUGUUCCUUGAAGAGCACCGAAUCUGGUAGAUACAUUGCGAGCACUUUGGUUCAGAAACGAGAAUCCAGAGCCAGAGCACCAGGAUACGUACGGCAGGGCAAGAAUGGAGCUGGGUCACAGGGACCUAUGUGGACAUUUUUGUUUAUUCCAAUCUUGCUGACUGUCACACUGAAAUAACCGAAAUCUGGAGGAGGCAGUGAUUAGAAACAAUGAGGUACUGAGGUUUGUGUGUUUUUAAUGUUUUAAGUGAGUCAUCAUGCACGGUCCAGAGGUUUAUUCUUCUUCUUUUUAGCUUUUGAAUGAAGUGAACAAGGAAAUGACAGCCUGCUGAGAGACCAAUAAUCAUUACACUGUAAAAAAAAAACAAAAACCUUUGUUGUUUUGUUUCGAUAGGGAGUCACGGAUGAGGAAGCAGAGGGUAUUGGUUUCAUUAUCUUCAAAUACACACACACAUAUACACGCGCACACACACACACACACACACACACACACUCAUAUAACAACAAAUGUUCGAGGAGUCCUUUCAGCUACUGGUUCAGUUUAGCUUUAAGGUGUACACCUUAUAGCCACAGAUUAUUUUCAGGCGUAUGUAUUUACUCCUGAGAGAGUGAGAUGAAAAUGUGUUUUGACAGGUGUGUCCACUACAGGACGGUUGUUUAUGUGUGUGACUGCUGUGUGAAUGUACGCUUUAUGCAAGAGCGCCCACGAAAAGAAAAAAACUGUCCAUCUUGAGCAGAAUGCAGACCUCAAAAGAUGAAUUCCCCUCAGACACACAGAAGCCUUUAUGUGCGAAAUAUCAAAUAGCUGGACACAGGAACUCUCAGUCAUGCAACAUCUCUGUCUGUGGUUCCUGGAUAGAUGCUGCCCUCUGGUGUACUGGCUGUGGUCAGUAUGAUGGCUGCUGCACAACUAAUAGUUAAGGGAGGGCAAGGGUUGCUUUAAACUGACUUGACUGACGUAAUGUCUGGUUUUACCCUCUCAGAUUUCUGAUAAGCCUUUGCAAUGAAGGUAGAAGGUUUGUAGUGUUCUGAUGCAAAUUGUCCAUAGUAAGGUCUGUGGAUGAUCCAGAGUCAUGGGGACACAGUUUCGUUUAAAUAUCAAUGCUCAAUGCUCUGAGUAGCAUGGUGGUACAGUGGUUAGCAUUGUUGCCUGCCAGCUAGAGGGUUCCUGGUUCGGCGUAGGGAGUUCCUCACAUGGUACUCCGGCUUCCUCCCACAGUCCAAAGACAUGCAUGUUAGGUUAACUGGUGACUCUAAAUUGCCUAUAGGUGUGAAUGUGAGUGUGAAUGGUUGUCUGUCUCUGUGUUAGCAUUGGAUAGUCUGGCAUUCUGUCCAGGGUGUACCCCGCCUCUCGCCCAAUGUCAGCUAGGAUAGGCUCCAGCACCCCUGCGACCAGCACCACUGCCACAGGAUAAGUGGCUAAGGAAAUGAAUGAAUAAUCUGAGCACCACAUGUGAUAUUCAGUGCUACUCAAUAUGAGGUCUCAGAGAUGGAUAUCUGAAAUUGACACAUCAUGCCUAGCUUCCACACAAAAUUUGAUAAGAUUGUAUAUUUUGUUUCUUUUCAUUUUAAAUCUUGCAGGAGUCAGAGUCUGGGUGUGGCAAAUGAGUAAUACGACAGAUAGAGAUCAUUUGUCCCAUUUCCCAUCUUCGACUAGCCGUCUGUCUUUGCAGCUAUAGCUCAAAGCUGAAACUCUGGCUUUUAAACGCCUCAGUGCACCCUCUUCAGAUAGGACAUUUGAGAGCCUUUUCAAGUCAGAAUGACUCUCUGCUAAUGGUGUCACUAAAUCGGAGCCACGCAGGGGCAGGCUGAACUUUUAGCAAACGUUGCUGCAGCUGAGAGCCCACUGGGUGAAUGACUACAGUGAGGUCACCUUGACUAGUAUUGUGCAAAUGGAUACACACAUUCACAAACACACCAACACCAGUCCAGAUACGCUGAGAACUUCAAAUAGUAAAUGUUGUUGUCUCUGAGAAAUGUUGAUGCUGAUGUUUUUGUGAAACUUUACCACUGACGAAUGACAAAGGAGAUACAUAUGUCUACCAAAUAUUUGGCACUCCAAUUUAAAAUCAGUUUACAUAAAUGAUCACAAAACAUGUUUUAACAGACUGAAUGACAAUGUAAUUCCGACUUUUGAAGCCUGUCAAGAUAAGCGCUGUUAGGAACCUGCUUUUGUGUUGUUUUUACUGAAUGGUUUUAUAUUUGUGAUUUACGUGUUCAAACAAAAAAAUGCUAGUAAUUAAUAACUGCUGUAGCCUUUGAAAAAGGAGUCUUUAAAAAGAAAUCAGAAAAAAACAUUUAUACAUGAAAUGAUUUGUGGUUGUUUUCUCUCUGACAAUAACAGACACGAGAUAAUUUCUUUUAUUUAUGUCAUAAUGUGACGAUGGAUUCUCCUUGAUUUACGGUGGCUUAGAUUGUACCUCAUUUAUACAAUGCUUUGGACAAAUGUGCCUGCCAAUGAAUGUAUGUAAAUGACUAACUUUGCAUCCUAAGAUGAAAAAAGGCAAUCUUUAGAACUUGUAGUGUCCACUGUAGGUCCCAGGGGUGUAAUUAUAGACAGUGCAAGCAAUGCCUUUGCAUUGGGGCCCAAGGGUGGGGUCAUGUUAAACUAAAAGUAGUGCUAUUUGCUAUUUAUGCCCUCAAAAAGGCCAAGAAUCAAUCUAUAGCAAAAUGUGCUUCUUCUACAUAAACCAUAAAAACUAAAAAUAGACUACAUAUAUAUUAAACACUACUCAAUUACAUAAAUCCUUUCUUAUUUUCUUUGGUAUUUUUGUAAUAUACAGUUGAUAGAAAGAUGACUGCUGGGUAAUGUAUAUGUUGAUGUUGUCCAAUGUAAAGUCUUUAUUUGACCAUGUAACAAGAUGCUGGGAUAUAUGGUAGCUAGUUUAGACACAACAUCAUAGUAACGUCAUAGUGACAUGCACUUAGGCCCCUCAUGACUACCGUUAGACCACUGGUGGGUACUAUGAGUAGGUAUCACACUAUCACACCUCAACUCAGUUGCCUGAUGAAAAUGUUGACACGUUUCUGUAGACCAUGAAUAUGUUGCAUUUGCAUAUUUCUUACGUGUCAGAUAAAGGCUUCUAAAGUGACUUAGUAGACUUAAUCAUUAGGAGGUAGAUGGCCUAUCACCUAGACGAGACACCUGUCAAGCUGCAGACCACUGCAAAACACUGACAAACAAACAAUAAAACCAGUUGUGAUCUAGUGAGUCAUUGCUGUGUUUCCAGCAGAUUUUUAGGUACCAAAUGUGGGUGUUUUGUGCGACCUGUUGCUAUUUUUCCAACAGGGAUAGUGUCACUAAGUCCAAAUACUUUAAGCCGAAGCAUGAUGCUUUCCGAAUCAUAAGUGGUUUUUGUGCCUAAACUUAACCAACGUUAACCACAGCAUUGUUGGAAUGUAAAGUUUUACCAUAACUGCUUCAUAAUAACUUGUAUGUAAUGUAUCCAUGAUUUGCACUUUCUGUGCUAUUUUCCAGAUCUCUUUGUUUGAUCAUAUAUGCAGCAUGAAUGUAAUUUAGGAAGCUUUAAGUUGUUCUAUAAAGUCAAAAUGAAGCUAUGCUUACCUAGCUGAGCCUCAUUUAAGUUCAAUGUUGAUUUUAUGAACAAUGGGAAAUAAAAACAAUU
Epinephelus fuscoguttatus (brown-marbled grouper) is the source of this 4501-nucleotide long non-coding RNA. RefSeq lists it as uncharacterized. The record is from RefSeq and is a predicted model, not a curated record. NCBI's taxonomy places the organism in Eukaryota, Metazoa, Chordata, Actinopteri, Perciformes, Serranidae. The transcript has 6 exons.